Molecule: long non-coding RNA, 686 nt
Filed under: Zonotrichia albicollis (white-throated sparrow)
Lineage: Eukaryota; Metazoa; Chordata; Aves; Passeriformes; Passerellidae
Description: lncRNA (ENSZALG00000000961.1)
Source: RNAcentral
AAACGGCUUUGGCAGCUCCAGCUCCACUGCCACCCUGCUGGCAGCUCAUUGCCUUUGCUUCUGAAUCCCAGUAAUUCCUGAGAAACGUGGCAGAUCCUUGCCUGGGAACUGGGAGGGGCUCUGCCUCGUUUUUUAUCAGACCCAACUAUUUUCUUCAUGCUGUGACAAUUAAUUAGAUUAUUUUCAUUUAAAGAUCCAAGCCCACAAGAUAAGUGGAAUGGAACUGAAUUGUUUUCCUUUCCCUGCUCUCCCUCAUUAGCAGUCUAAACAAGUGUGAGGCUGCAUUAAGUUUGUAGCUAUUUUGCUAGCUUGAAAUCACUUUCUUCUCUUCUGCAGAUGGAGACUGUGCUUAGAUCAUUAUAAUCCAGGAUGCAGUUGUGGUAUAUUAAAAGUGAAAAGGCUACUUACAGAAUUUAUGCUUGCAAUUACCUUGGUAGUGGAAAAGGACAGCAACAAAAAUGUCAGGCCAUGAUCACCAGGAAGGCAGCAAUGUGACUGAGACAGAGCCCAGCUCUGAACCAGUGCAGACAUUCUGAUGUUGUUAGGUAUUUUAAAAUAUUGAUGAUGAUUUCCUGAAGAUGGACCAUGGCAGGAAACAAGUGGGUGAGCAGAUGUUAUUUCUAUGAAUGGUCUCACAGAAGUAAACCAGAUGAAUUUCUGAGUUGUCUCAUUCUUCAAGAGUUUGC